UGGGGGAUAUUGCACAAUGGGCGAAAGCCUGAUGCAGCAACGCCGCGUGAGGGAAGAAGGUCUUCGGAUUGUAAACCUUUGUCCUAAGUGAAGAAACAAAUGACGGUAGCUUAGGAGGCAGCUACGGCUAACUACGUGCCAGCAGCCGCGGUAAUACGUAGGUGGCAAGCGUUGUCCGGAUUUACUGGGUGUAAAGGGUGCGCAGGCGGGACUGCAAGUUGGAUGUGAAAUACCGGGGCUUAACUCCGGAGCUGCAUCCAAAACUGUGGUUCUUGAGAGAUGUAGAGGUAAGCGGAAUUCCGAGUGUAGCGGUGAAAUGCGUAGAUAUUCGGAGGAACACCAGUGGCGAAGGCGGCUUACUGGGCAUUUUCUGACGCUGAGGCACGAAAGUGUGGGGAGCAAACAGG
RNAcentral lists this ribosomal RNA (407 nucleotides) under uncultured prokaryote. RNAcentral describes it as "bacterial SSU rRNA". It matches the Rfam family "Bacterial small subunit ribosomal RNA", at positions 355 to 776 of the family's 1533-position model. The record is from RNAcentral. RNAcentral also lists the same sequence under 1 other name.